UCUCCGUAGGUGAACCUGCGGAGGGAUCAUUGAAUUAUUAAACCACAAUGCGAACCUCAACGUUCCGUGUCUUGGCUUGCCAGUGGGGCAUUCGGCAUAAAACCCGUUUGUUCUCACAGCUGGUACGUGGGCAUUGCCUCUCAGUGGCGCCUUGGCAUGACUUUAUACCAGUGCUAACCACUGUUAAAACCAAACUCUGAAGUAUUGAUUGCUAGUAAUUGGCGAUCUUAACCAAAGACAACUCUCAACAACGGAUAUCUUGGCUCUC
This 268-nucleotide unclassified non-coding RNA is filed under the name soil metagenome. RNAcentral describes it as "partial contains small subunit ribosomal RNA, internal transcribed spacer 1, and 5.8S ribosomal RNA". The record is from RNAcentral.